This is a long non-coding RNA of Mastomys coucha (southern multimammate mouse), 1043 nucleotides long. RefSeq lists it as uncharacterized. The record is from RefSeq and is a predicted model, not a curated record. Lineage: Eukaryota; Metazoa; Chordata; Mammalia; Rodentia; Muridae. The transcript is spliced from 2 exons.
GUGAGCUAUAAAAUGUGUGCACUGUGUAUUUUUAUGAAUACAAAGUCCCAAGCCACUUCAUAAAACGUCUCUAAGACCAUUCUGGUUGUGAAAUGAAGGUGGCAAGAUUAUAAACCAGAGGGGGGAGUGCAGAGAGUUUUCAAUCAAGGCUGCAAAGUCUGCUUUUCAUAAGGCAUCAGCCCAGAAGAGAUGGAGUCAUUUUAUCGUUCAGGUUUCAUGGUUUUACUUCUAAUCUUUAAUCUUUGUGGUCCUGGAUUCUCUGGCUAAAGUGGGAGACCAAGUAUAAGCCCUCAAGAGGGAGAUGUGUCCCAGGGCUGGAGUAACACUGAUGGGAACAAAGGGGGUUCAGCAGGGCCAGGAGAGACAGAGCAUGACAAGUCAGAGGACAGCUUUAGCAUACACUGGUCCCUCCCACCUUGCUUUGCGGCAGGGUCUCACAUUUCUGCUGCUGUGCUCCGGUCUCCAGGCUAUUUGGCCCACAAGCUUUGAAGAUGGCUUCCUGACUCCACCUCCAACUUCACCAUAAGGUUGGUGGUAGUGCAGAUGCUCACCAUCGGAUCUGUUUUGUACAGGUUCUAAGGAUCAAACUGGCAUCAUUAGGCUUGCAUGCCAAGUGCCUUACCCACCAAGCCAUAUCUCUGACCCAUGUCUUGUUUUUGAGUGUUUAUUUAAACUGCAGUGCCAAAGUAUUUACAUCAAAUUAUCGUUCUCAGAAUCUCCUAUGUGCUGGGUGUUGGAGUGACUUACAAUAUAAAUGAUGCUGGUGUGAAAAGCCUAUGCAUCCAUCUGCCUGGAAAAUGAGACUCAUUACAUAGUGAAGGAUGAUCUUGACCUUCCAAUCCUGCUGCCUCUACGUCUUCUCAGAUGGACACUCUAUUUACCACAAACCAGGGCUUCGGGCACACAAGACAAGGACUCUACCUACCAAGCUACACUCUGGCCUUUAAAUUUCAUUUUUUAAUUUUUUAAAAGAUUUAUGUUUAUUUUCCAGGAGGGAAAUAAAAUCUGGAGUGUAAAUAAAUAAAUGAUUAAAUUUUAAAAGA